Molecule: long non-coding RNA, 156 nt
Organism: Daphnia pulex (common water flea)
Lineage: Eukaryota; Metazoa; Arthropoda; Branchiopoda; Diplostraca; Daphniidae
Exons: 3
Source: RefSeq, a predicted model, not a curated record
UAACUCCGACAACGACGGCCCCGACAAUAGCAGGACGACGACACAGUCCUACUUGAGAAUUGUAUAGCAAUUAAAAACAACAACAACUUUGAUACGAAUCUCUAGAACUAUUGGAGACACCUUGUAGCGGAACGAGAUCCAUUCUACGACUGACGC